Long non-coding RNA from Mesocricetus auratus (golden hamster), 1849 nucleotides. RefSeq lists it as uncharacterized. The transcript has 2 exons. NCBI's taxonomy places the organism in Eukaryota, Metazoa, Chordata, Mammalia, Rodentia, Cricetidae. The record is from RefSeq and is a predicted model, not a curated record.
AUAAAUAAAUCCACCCAAGUUUCCCCCUAACAGUCCCGUGGUUUCGUGUUUCACAUCAGGAUACCUGAUCCACUUGGAGUUUACCCUGGUGAACAGCAAGAAAUAGGGUUUUCUAGGCAAGGCAACCCGGUGGAACAGUAGGGAAAAUGAAUGUCAAUCCUUAUGGUGCAGGCCACUAGGUGGCGGUCCUCAAGGUUUGUUUCUUGCAAGAAACACUAAGUCUUCAAAAGAUAAAGGAAAUGACUCAAGAUAUAACCAACCAAGAAGACAUCCCUCUGGGAAGUUUCCCUCAUCGUCACAACCUUCGACUCUGGAGGCAAGCUCCGUGUUUCUGCUCCCCACCUCGGAAAGUAUUUGCCCCCCAUAUUUACAUUCUCACUGGAAGGUCACAGUGUGUGUAGAGACUGCCUUUGCAGGGAUGUCACCAGGCCCAGGGGUAAAUAUGGGCCAGAGAAGGAAAGGGGUGGCAGUGCUGACUGCCCUGCCCUGAGAUUCUGCAGCAGCUUGCAGCAGGAAAUGACAAGACGCAGGUUUCCAUUCCAGGGCAGUCACCAGCUGGCCCAGUUACUGCAGGCCCCUACUUGGCCUUCUGCCCUUUAGUUUCCCCACAUAUAAACGUCAGCCCUGCCGGUGUGCAAAGCAUGCCAACGGGGUAGGAUGGUCCAUGGGUUGCAAAGUAAGAGCUACUGUGUAGACAUGUUUUCCCACCAUUACCUUUCAUUUUGUCCUGUGUAGGUGUGUCUCUCUUGAAUAUGAAAAGGUCAUAAGAACUGGUGGUUGAAGGCUGAUUCCGGUUUAUAAGGCUGGACCCCUCCCAUCUGAAUGGAAACACCUUUGAUCCACGAUACUAAUCCAGCGUCCACAGCAAGAUCUCAAGCAAAGUAAGCGCCCGUUGCAUGCUUAUGAAUGGAUGGAUGCACAUAGCACAGUCAGACUGUAUGUCCCUGUUAGAAAUGCCACAUCAGGGUCUCUGACUCCUCACUCCCUUGGUGCCUGUGUUCUCGAAUGUGCUCAACUUGGGGCUGCUGACUGGAUAUCACACAACACGUCCUUCCCUGUAGCCAGACCUUCCGAACACUCAGCUUACCUUGUUCCAGCCUGCAGAGACCCUCCCUCACACUCACCUCCCCUUCCGGGGACAGACCCUCGUGCAUCUUCUACUGCUGCUCUUGGAAUCAACGUCUUUCUCACGGCCACCCGAGGCUUGGCUUUCCUAAUCAGCUGACCAUGCUCAUCUCUGCACUGGACUCAAGUAUAGAGGUGUGAGAGGCUCCUGGGUAACCUCGAGGAGACAUGAGAACUCCCCCUGAAGCUGGUGGACCUUUGAAAGAAACAGAGCAAUGCUGGUGUGAGGAGGAGAUGGACCACAGCUGGGGAGAACUUUCUAAAGAUGGUGGGUCACAAACAGCCUCUCAAGAACACAACUGGGACUCUGGCUGGUCUUAAGGAGCCUUGGGUAAAACACAAUAUGGCUGUCUAAGCCCAACAAGCCAAGUCCUUGGAAGAAUUGGAAUGAUGCUACUUGGAGGUGACAAGGCAGCCUUAUCCCUUAUAAUGCAACCAUGUAUUUGAUAAUUGUCCAAACUUGAUCUGGUGGGCUGUGUUGUAUCUUCACGGGUAAGUAAGAUCUUGACUUUGUCAUAGAGUAAAAUACUGCCCACAGUUGAUUAUGUGACUUUUUUUUCCAUCAAAAGCCAUUGCCAAAUGGUUGGGCAGGGGUUCACAAGGAAUUGUUCACGCCUCAGAACUGUCUCAUCCGUCCAGGUACCUAGCUGUAUGGGUUGUUCUUAGCAAAGAAACACAUGGGGCGCAGUAUGUCACUCAGUAUCAUUAAAAAUGUUUAAAUGUG